Long non-coding RNA from Myotis davidii, 1502 nucleotides. RefSeq lists it as uncharacterized. Lineage: Eukaryota; Metazoa; Chordata; Mammalia; Chiroptera; Vespertilionidae. The record is from RefSeq and is a predicted model, not a curated record. The transcript is spliced from 2 exons.
GUAAUUUUCCUAAAGGUCAAAGGCAUGAGGGUAAAUGAAUAACUUUCCCUGGAUUCAACUGGGAAAAGCCAGGAUGAGCAGAACUCUUAUGCCCACCAACGGAUCUUGGAAGGUGUCAGCAUGAAUGUCACUUCCUGAGAGAGACCCUCCCUGACCCCCUAGAUGUCCCACAGCAUCUCCUGGCAUUCACUCUUUAUCUCAGUGCCCUGAUUCAUUUUCUGUAGGUCUGAUCUCUAACUGAAAUAAUUUCGGUUAUGUAUUUCCUUAUGUGUGGUUGGCUCUGACUUCUUCCAUUAGACUGGCAGGCAGAGAUUCUAUAUCCCAGAGCACCCAGUACAACCUACCACAGAUUCAAGGGAAGGGGUGUCUAUGGACUCCAGGUUAAGAAUUCCUGUUCUAGAAUAUAUCACUUAAGCUUAGUUCACCAUUUUAACUCUAGCACAUAAGACACAGUAGAUACUCUUUACAUAUCUGUGGAAGGACGGAUGGAAAGGAGGAAGGAAGGAACAAAGGAGGGGAGCAGCAUUCUUCUUUGUGUCUGAUAUUGUUCUCAGAACAAGCUUGCCAAUGAAUGAAUGAAUCCUACAAGCAGGGCAGUGAUAAAUGAGAGUAGUCCCUUCCUCCACCAGCUCUAAUAGCAAUUGUAACUUGGGUGAGGGCUGUUGUAUACUAUGAAAACCCAUUGAGUAACCCCCCCACCCCCCAUACCUGACACAGAAUGUGUACUUGAAUGAUUAAAUGAAAUGCCUCUUUGGCUGACAGAGACAACCCCCACACUAUAAUAUAUCAGGUAUGAGGGAUCAAUGCUCUGAGAUUUCUAUCAGAUCAGUUUUCCCUUUGGGCUGCCAAUGGCUUCCUUUCUCAUCAGCAUGAUCAGAGCUUUUGUGGGCUAUUGGUCUUUACCAUGACAGCACUUCUCAUGGGAACCAGCCUUACCAUCAUCACCUGCCCUUGUCAAGCUGGAGUCAUAUGUAAGACAUCCAAGGGUAGGACCCCUUUUCCCGCUUGGUGGGAAGACAAAACCCAUGGGAUAGCGGGUUAACUAAGAAUCUGGCUCUGUCCUCUGACAGAUGAUUUCAGGUGCUCAUGAAUAUCAACUGGAAAGAUCAGUGCUAGGUGGAUUAUUUUUCUCAUGAUGCCUUAUAAGUCAGCAGUCACUGACAGAACUUAAAUGAAAACUCAGUGCUAGUAAAGACAAAAUCUAAUUCAUUACUCAAUGCUUCAAAAAAAUUCCUAAUAUGUCAGCUGUGCAGAUGCCAACAUGCAUCUAUUGGUAUCAGACACUUAAACUUUUGGAAUGCUUUCUAAGAUAUUUAAGAAUAAAUGAAUAUUCAUGAAAGUGCUAUAAAAAUGAAGGAUCUAUUUCUGAAUAGGGGAAAGAAAUAGCUUGGUAAAAUAAAUAGCAACUAAAGGUGGCUGUAAACACUAGAGGUUAUGCAUGAACCUGCUUUAUUGUGAUGGUACAGAGGGGUCCAUCUUUCUAGGUUAUCAUGCAGAUCAAA